This 816-nucleotide ribosomal RNA is filed under the name Listeria monocytogenes. Its description in RNAcentral is "partial 23S ribosomal RNA". It matches the Rfam family "Bacterial large subunit ribosomal RNA", at positions 716 to 1529 of the family's 2925-position model. The record is from RNAcentral. Lineage: Bacteria; Bacillati; Bacillota; Bacilli; Caryophanales; Listeriaceae.
CGAAACCAGGUGAUCUACCCAUGUCCAGGAUGAAGGUAAGGUAAUACUUACUGGAGGUCCGAACCCACGCACGUUGAAAAGUGCGGGGAUGAGGUGUGGGUAGCGGAGAAAUUCCAAUCGAACUUGGAGAUAGCUGGUUCUCUCCGAAAUAGCUUUAGGGCUAGCCUCGAGGUAAAGAGUCAUGGAGGUAGAGCACUGUUUGGACUAGGGGCCCUUCUCGGGUUACCGAAUUCAGAUAAACUCCGAAUGCCAUGUACUUAUACUCGGGAGUCAGACUGCGAGUGAUAAGAUCCGUAGUCGAAAGGGAAACAGCCCAGACCACCAGUUAAGGUCCCCAAAUAUAUGUUAAGUGGAAAAGGAUGUGGGGUUGCUUAGACAACCAGGAUGUUGGCUUAGAAGCAGCCACCAUUGAAAGAGUGCGUAAUAGCUCACUGGUCGAGUGACCCCGCGCCGAAAAUGUACCGGGGCUAAACAUAUUACCGAAACUGUGGAUGAACCUCUUCGGAGGUUCGUGGUAGGAGAGCGUUCUAAGGGCGGUGAAGUCAGACCGGAAGGACUGGUGGAGCGCUUAGAAGUGAGAAUGCCGGUAUGAGUAGCGAAAGAAGGGUGAGAAUCCCUUCCACCGAAUAUCUAAGGUUUCCUGAGGAAGGCUCGUCCGCUCAGGGUUAGUCGGGACCUAAGCCGAGGCCGAUAGGCGUAGGCGAUGGACAACAGGUAGAGAUUCCUGUACCAGUGCUAAUUGUUUAACCGAUGGGGUGACACAGAAGGAUAGGGAAUCGCACGAAUGGAAAUGUGCGUCCAAGCAGUGAGUGUGAG